AUGUCUUUAUUCAUCAAUAUCUUCUCUUCUGUGUCAUUCUCAUAAUGUCCAGCAGCUCUUCCAGGUUCUACAUCAGAACGCCGACUCAGUAAUGUAAAACAUUUCCUUGUCAUGGUGAGCAGCUGUCCAAUGGGAAACAAAAAAAUAAAAAAUAAAAAAAAAAUGAUAAGGUGAUAAUUAAACGGUGACAUGGGGUUAAUUUAUUUUGUAUAUUUUAAAGUUCAGGCUUGGGUAAAGUGAUGAAAUGUCUCGAAACGAGUUGAAUACGGUAAAAGAAAUCUCACACAGAACAGAAUAAAAUCGCUAGAAUGUAAAAUAAGGUAAAUGUGAUGAACACACUGAACAUAUUCAAUCUUAGCAGCACAUGCUGUUGUAAAUCCUGCCCACUUGUUUGCAUUGUGACACAUGCUUCAGUGCUCUGAGAGUGUUUAUAGUGCUGUGAGUUUAACACUUCAUGACUGAGAGCAGAACAGAACACAAUCUUCAUCAUCACACAAGACAAAAGAACAACAAUGAACACAAUCACCUUCUUCAUCUGGACUCUCACACUGUUUGCUCAAGAAUCCAGAGGAGUGACUCUGACUCAACCUGAAGUUAAAACUGUCCAACAGGGUCAAACAGCUACAAUAGAGUGUAGUUUGGAUGUUGCACUAACCUCUAAUGACUUAGCCUGGUAUCAGCAGAAACCUGGAGAAGCUCCUAAACUCCUGAUUUAUUACAUAAACAGCCUUCAGUCAGGAACUCCAUCUAGAUUCAGUGGCAGUGGAUCUGACUAUGGCAGUGAUUUCACUCUGACCAUCAGUGGAGUCCAGACUGAAGAUACAGGAGAUUAUUACUGUCAGAGUUACCACAGUGGUCCAGUGUUCACACAGUGAUAAAGAGUGGUACAAAAACCUCGGUCAGUCAGACGUCACAGUGAUGCACUGAUACAGCUGAGAGAUACUGCAGCUGCUGAUGGAGGAUCACAAACAAC
Megalobrama amblycephala (Wuchang bream) is the source of this 973-nucleotide non-coding RNA. The record is from the annotation of a RefSeq genome assembly. NCBI's taxonomy places the organism in Eukaryota, Metazoa, Chordata, Actinopteri, Cypriniformes, Xenocyprididae.